AUACUGCUGAGCUAGGGACCGGGAGAGGCCGAGGGUAUUCCCGGGGUAGGGGUGAAAUCCUGUAAUCCCGGGAGGACCACCUGUGGCGAAGGCGCUCGGCUGGAACGGGUCCGACGGUGAGGGACGAAGGCCUGGGGAGCGAACCGGAUUAGAUACCCGGGUAGUCCAGGCUGUAAACGAUGCGGGCUAGGUGUCACCGGAGCUACGAGCUCCGGUGGUGCCGGAGGGAAGCCGUUAAGCUCGCCGCCUGGGAAGUACGGCCGCAAGGCUGAAACUUAAAGGAAUUGGCGGGGGAGCACUACAACGGGUGGAGCCUGCGGUUUAAUUGAAUUCAACGCCGGGAAGCUUACCGGGGGAGACAGCGGGAUGAAGGUCGGGCUGAAGACCUUACCAGACUAGCUGAGAGGUGGUGCAUGGCCGCCGUCAGUUCGUACUGUGAAGCAUCCUGUUAAGUCAGGCAACGAGCGAGACCCGCGCCCUCAGUUGCCAGCGGGUCCCUUCGGGGACGCCGGGCACACUGAGGGGACUGCCGGCGCUAAGCCGGAGGAAGGUGCGGGCAGCGGCAGGUCCGUAUGCCCCGAAUCCCCCGGGCUACACGCGGGCUACAAUGGCCGGGACAAUGGGUACCGACCCCGAAAGGGGUGGGUAAUCUCCUAAACCCGGUCUAACCUGGGAUCGAGGGCUGCAACUCGCCCUCGUGAACCUGGAAUCCGUAGUAAUCGCGUCUC
This 728-nucleotide ribosomal RNA is filed under the name uncultured archaeon. RNAcentral describes it as "bacterial SSU rRNA". It matches the Rfam family "Archaeal small subunit ribosomal RNA", at positions 581 to 1306 of the family's 1478-position model. The record is from RNAcentral.